UACACUCCUGCGGGAGGCAGCAGCGGGGAAUAUUGCACAAUGGGCGCAAGCCUGAUGCAGCCAUGCCGCGUGUAUGAAGAAGGCCUUCGGGUUGUAAAGUACUUUCAGCGGGGAGGAAGGCAAUACGGUUAAUAACCGUGUUGAUUGACGUUACCCGCAGAAGAAGCACCGGCUAACUCCGUGCCAGCAGCCGCGGUAAUACGGAGGGUGCAAGCGUUAAUCGGAAUUACUGGGCGUAAAGCGCACGCAGGCGGUCUGUCAAGUCGGAUGUGAAAUCCCCGGGCUCAACCUGGGAACUGCAUUCGAAACUGGCAGGCUUGAGUCUUGUAGAGGGGGGUAGAAUUCCAGGUGUAGCGGUGAAAUGCGUAGAGAUCUGGAGGAAUACCGGUGGCGAAGGCGGCCCCCUGGACAAAGACUGACGCUCAGGUGCGAAAGCGUGGGGAGCAAACAGGAUUAGAAACCCCAGUAGUCCC
RNAcentral lists this ribosomal RNA (473 nucleotides) under uncultured organism. RNAcentral's name for it is "partial 16S ribosomal RNA". It matches the Rfam family "Bacterial small subunit ribosomal RNA", at positions 332 to 797 of the family's 1533-position model. The record is from RNAcentral.